AUGAAUGCUGAUGCAUGCACUGGGCUCUGAGAAGUUUUAACCUCAACUUUUGAUGAAAAUGCACGGCCUUGAAAGCUAUUUCUGAUAC
Molecule: small nucleolar RNA, 88 nt
Organism: Vigna angularis (adzuki bean)
Lineage: Eukaryota; Viridiplantae; Streptophyta; Magnoliopsida; Fabales; Fabaceae
Source: Rfam